RNAcentral lists this ribosomal RNA (19 nucleotides) under Caulerpa taxifolia. RNAcentral describes it as "partial 18S ribosomal RNA". The record is from RNAcentral. Lineage: Eukaryota; Viridiplantae; Chlorophyta; Ulvophyceae; Bryopsidales; Caulerpaceae.
ACCAACGAAUGGAUCAUUA